AUGAGCAACUCCUACCAAAGCUGCUGGGAAGUACACACACCGAUCUCUUGUAAUGAUCAGGCCACUUCAUUUUUUCCAAUGCAUUUUGGCAAGCUUUUCCUCAGCAUUGUCCAACAGCUUUUCAUAACAGUAGAAAAGGGGGCUGUAGCUGGUUCAUGUGCAAGGCAUAUUCCUUUCCCUACAGGAUCCCAGUGGAAGAGUUGGUGGAUUGAUAAGGGGAUGGCUGUGAGGAGGCUCUGUCCGCUGCACUGGAAGCAGCAAAGCAGUGUGUUUUAA
Molecule: long non-coding RNA, 276 nt
Filed under: Anser brachyrhynchus (Pink-footed goose)
Lineage: Eukaryota; Metazoa; Chordata; Aves; Anseriformes; Anatidae
Description: lncRNA (ENSABRG00000012773.1)
Source: RNAcentral